This 598-nucleotide ribosomal RNA is filed under the name Blastocystis sp. subtype 5. RNAcentral describes it as "SSU rRNA". It matches the Rfam family "Eukaryotic small subunit ribosomal RNA", at positions 11 to 619 of the family's 1831-position model. Lineage: Eukaryota; Bigyra; Opalinata; Blastocystidae. The record is from RNAcentral.
UUCCUGCCGGUAUUCUUACGUUGUUUUCAAAGAUUAAGCCAUGCAUGUGUAAGUAUAAAUAAUUUUACUUUGAAACUGCGAAUGGCUCAUUAUAUCAGUUAUAGUUUAUUAGAAAUAUUUUACUACUUGGAUAACCGUAGUAAUUCUAGGGCUAAUACAUGAGUAAAACCUCAACUUCGGAAGAGGUGUGUUUAUUAGUAUGAAAACCAUAUAUCUUCGGAUAUAAUAGUGAGUAAUAAUAACCUUUCAUAUCGUAUGUCGUAAGAUAACGAUAGUUCUUUCAAGUUUCUGCCCUAUCAGCUUUCGAUGGUAGUAUAUGGGACUACCAUGGCAGUAACGGGUAACGAAGAAUUUGGGUUCGAUUUCGGAGAGGGAGCCUGAGAGAUGGCUACCACAUCCAAGGAAGGCAGCAGGCGCGUAAAUUACCCAAUCCUGACAUAGGGAGGUAGUGACAAUAAAUCACAAUGCGGAACUUUUAGUUUUGCAAUUGGAUUGAGAACAAUGUACAAAUGUUAUCGAUAAACAAUUGGAGGGCAAGUCUGGUGCCAGCAGCCGCGGUUAUUCCCGCUUCCAUAACGUAAAUUAACGUUUUUGCAGU